Molecule: ribosomal RNA, 750 nt
Filed under: uncultured bacterium
Lineage: Bacteria
Description: bacterial SSU rRNA
Rfam family: Bacterial small subunit ribosomal RNA
Source: RNAcentral
GUCGAACGGUAGAGGGGGCAACCCCUCGAGAGUGGCGAACGGGUGAGUAAUAUAUCGGAACGUGCCCAGUCGUGGGGGAUAACGUAGUGAAAAUUACGCUAAUACCGCAUACGAUCUAAGGAUGAAAGCGGGGGAUCGCAAGACCUCGCGCGAUUGGAGCGGCCGAUAUCAGAUUAGGUAGUUGGUAGGGUAAAGGCCUACCAAGCCAACGAUCUGUAGCUGGUCUGAGAGGACGACCAACCACACUGGAACUGAGACACGGUCCAGACUCCUACGGGAGGCAGCAGUGGGGAAUUUUGGACAAUGGGCGAAAGCCUGAUCCAGCCAUUCCGCGUGCAGGAUGAAGGCCCUCGGGUUGUAAACUGCUUUUGUACAGAACGAAAAGGUCUCUAUUAAUACUAGGGGCUCAUGACGGUACUGUAAGAAUAAGCACCGGCUAACUACGUGCCAGCAGCCGCGGUAAUACGUAGGGUGCAAGCGUUAAUCGGAAUUACUGGGCGUAAAGCGUGCGCAGGCGGUUAUAUAAGUCAGAUGUGAAAUCCCCAGGCUCAACCUGGGAACUGCAUUUGAGACUGUAUAGCUAGAGUACGGUAGAGGGGGAUGGAAUUCCGCGUGUAGCAGUGAAAUGCGUAGAUAUGCGGCGGAACACCGAUGGCGAAGGCAAUCCCCUGGACCUGUACUGACGCUCAUGCACGAAAGCGUGGGGAGCAAACAGGAUUAGAUACCCUGGUAGUCCACGCCCUAAACGAU